RNAcentral lists this ribosomal RNA (429 nucleotides) under Gemmatimonadota bacterium. RNAcentral describes it as "Gemmatimonadetes bacterium partial 16S ribosomal RNA". It matches the Rfam family "Bacterial small subunit ribosomal RNA", at positions 355 to 776 of the family's 1533-position model. Lineage: Bacteria; Pseudomonadati; Gemmatimonadota. The record is from RNAcentral.
UAGGGAAUCUUCGGCAAUGGACGAAAGUCUGACCGAGCAACGCCGCGUGAGUGAAGAAGGUUUUCGGAUCGUAAAACUCUUUUGUUAGAGAAGAACAAGGACGUUAGUAACUGAACGUCCCCUGACGGUAUCUAACCAGAAAGCCACGGCUAACUACGUGCCAGCAGCCGCGGUAAUACGUAGGUGGCAAGCGUUGUCCGGACUUAUUGGGCGUAAAGCGAGCGCAGGCGGUUUCUUAAGUCUGAUGUGAAAUCCCCCGGCUCAACCGGGGAGGGUCAUUGGAAACUGGGAGACUUGAGUGCAGAAGAGGAGAGUGGAAUUCCAUGUGUAGUGGUGAAAUGCGUAGAUAUAUGGAGGAACACCAGUGGCGAAGGCGGCUCUCUGGUCUGUAACUAACGCUGAGGCUCGAAAGCGUGGGGAGCAAACAGG